UUGGAGGGCAAGUCUGGUGCCAGCAGCCGCGGUAAUUCCAGCUCCAAUAGCGUAUAUUAAAGUUGUUGCAGUUAAAAAGCUCGUAGUUGAAUUUCGGGAUUCAUCCGUUGGUCGGGCUUCACGGUCCGCACUGGUGUGAUGGGUUCCUACCUUCUGAAUAACCGGCAUGCCAUUAAUUUGGUGCGCCGGGGAAGCAGAACUAUUACCUUGAAAAAAUUAGAGUGCUUAAAGCAGGCAAGUGCCUGAAUAGGUUAGCAUGGAAUAAUAAAAUAGGACGGCAUGGUUCUAUUUUGUUGGUUUCUAGGAUCACCGUAAUGAUUAAUAGGGAUAGUUGGGGGCAUUAGUAUUCAAUUGUCAGAGGUGAAAUUCUUGGAUUUAUUGAAGACUAACUUCUGCGAAAGCAUUUGCCAAGGAUGUUUUCAUUAAUCAAGAACGAAAGUUAGGGGAUCGAAGACGAUCAGAUACCGUCGUAGUCUUAACCAUAAACUGUGCCGACUAGGGAUCGGACGAUGUUAAUUUUUUAAUGACUCGUUCGGCGCCUUACGGGAAAC
This 551-nucleotide ribosomal RNA is filed under the name uncultured Glomeromycotina. Its description in RNAcentral is "SSU rRNA". It matches the Rfam family "Eukaryotic small subunit ribosomal RNA", at positions 548 to 1098 of the family's 1831-position model. Lineage: Eukaryota; Fungi; Glomeromycota. The record is from RNAcentral.